UGGCGGACGGGUGAGUAACGCGUGGGUAACCUGCCUUACACAGGGGGAUAACACCUGGAAACAGGCGCUAAUACCGCAUAAGCGCACAGGGCCGCAUGGCCCGGUGUGAAAAACUCCGGUGGUGUAAGAUGGACCCGCGUCUGAUUAGCUUGUUGGCGGGGUAGGGGCCCACCAAGGCGACGAUCAGUAGCCGGCCUGAGAGGGUGGACGGCCACAUUGGGACUGAGACACGGCCCAAACUCCUACGGGAGGCAGCAG
This 258-nucleotide ribosomal RNA is filed under the name uncultured bacterium. RNAcentral describes it as "partial 16S ribosomal RNA". It matches the Rfam family "Bacterial small subunit ribosomal RNA", at positions 96 to 354 of the family's 1533-position model. The record is from RNAcentral.